Non-coding RNA from Scomber scombrus (Atlantic mackerel), 474 nucleotides. Lineage: Eukaryota; Metazoa; Chordata; Actinopteri; Scombriformes; Scombridae. The record is from the annotation of a RefSeq genome assembly.
GACAACAGAAGCCACAGAAAUCCUCCUCAUCAAAAACAUGACUUUGAUCUCCGUCCUCAUCUGGACUCUCCUCUGCUGCUGCUUCACAGAGUCCAGAGGCCAGAUCACAGUGACUCAGCCUGCAGCAGUGAGAUCUGAACUGGGAGGAUCUACAACCAUCAACUGUAGGACCAGUCAGAGUGUAGUUAAUGGGUGGUUUUUAGCCUGGUACCAACAGAGAGAUGGAGAAGCUCCUAAAUUAUUAAUUAAGGCAGCUGACGAGCGACUAUCAAGGAUUCCAGGUCGUUUUUCAGGCAGCGGAAGAAACUCUGACUUCACUCUGACCAUCAGUGGAGUUCAGGCUGAAGAUGCAGCAGUUUAUUACUGUCAGAGUUAUCACAAUCCUAACAGUCAGCGUGUGUUCACACAGUGAAAAAGCGUCGUACAAAAACCUCCCUCAGUCAGACUGAACCGAAACUGAACUGACUGCUGCAG